UGCAGGCAAGGCAGCUCCGCUCCCCAAGAUGAGGGGUCUGCAUGCUUGGUGAUGCCCAGCAUGUGUGGGCGGCAUGCGCCGUUUACUGGCUUCGCCGCCCUCAUCCAAACACACCAAGUUUGGCAGUGAGUAGGAAGCUGGCGAGGUAGACAACCUCGCCGGGCCAUCACAGACUCCUCCUUGGCCUCCCGCAGCAUCUCCGACCCCCCUCCCCAUGGGCACAGGCUGCAGGCCCUGGAGAGGCAGGUCAGCCUCGUGUUCUGCACCCCAAGAUGAUGGUCUGCAUGCUCGGUGACACUCAGUAUGUGGGGGAGGAUAGGCCGCCGUCUUCCAAGCAUGACAAGUUCGGGUGAGGCAAGCAGA
This is a long non-coding RNA of Triticum aestivum (bread wheat), 363 nucleotides long. RefSeq lists it as uncharacterized. The record is from RefSeq and is a predicted model, not a curated record. The transcript has 4 exons. Lineage: Eukaryota; Viridiplantae; Streptophyta; Magnoliopsida; Poales; Poaceae.